RNAcentral lists this ribosomal RNA (427 nucleotides) under uncultured marine bacterium. Its description in RNAcentral is "bacterial SSU rRNA". It matches the Rfam family "Bacterial small subunit ribosomal RNA", at positions 360 to 804 of the family's 1533-position model. The record is from RNAcentral.
AAUAUUGGACAAUGGGGGCAACCCUGAUCCAGCCAUGCCGCGUGAGUGAAGAAGGCCCUAGGGUUGUAAAGCUCUUUCGCCAGGGAAGAUAGUGACGGUACCUGGUAAAGAAGUCCCGGCUAACUCCGUGCCAGCAGCCGCGGUAAUACGGAGGGGACUAGCGUUGUUCGGAAUUACUGGGCGUAAAGAGUACGUAGGCGGUAACGCAAGUUGGGUGUGAAAGCCCGGGGCUCAACCCCGGAACUGCAUUCAAAACUGUGUUGCUAGAGAUCGGAAGAGGUAAGUGGAAUUCCCAGUGUAGAGGUGAAAUUCGUAGAUAUUGGGAAGAACACCGGUGGCGAAGGCGACUUACUGGUCCGAUACUGACGCUGAGGUACGAAAGCGUGGGGAGCAAACAGGAUUAGAUACCCUGGUAGUCCACGCCGUA